UCCCGUGUGGCUCAGUUGGUAGAGCAUGGUGUUUGCAACACUUGGGUUGUGGGUUCGAUUCCCCCAGGGGAC
This 72-nucleotide transfer RNA is filed under the name Salmo salar (Atlantic salmon). It matches the Rfam family "tRNA". Rfam says of the family: Transfer RNA (tRNA) molecules are approximately 80 nucleotides in length. Their secondary structure includes four short double-helical elements and three loops (D, anti-codon, and T loops). The record is from Rfam by way of RNAcentral. Lineage: Eukaryota; Metazoa; Chordata; Actinopteri; Salmoniformes; Salmonidae.